RNAcentral lists this ribosomal RNA (1395 nucleotides) under Streptococcus thermophilus. RNAcentral describes it as "bacterial SSU rRNA". It matches the Rfam family "Bacterial small subunit ribosomal RNA". Lineage: Bacteria; Bacillati; Bacillota; Bacilli; Lactobacillales; Streptococcaceae. The record is from RNAcentral.
GUAGAACGCUGAAGAGAGGAGCUUGCUCUUCUUGGAUGAGUUGCGAACGGGUGAGUAACGCGUAGGUAACCUGCCUUGUAGCGGGGGAUAACUAUUGGAAACGAUAGCUAAUACCGCAUAACAAUGGAUGACACAUGUCAUUUAUUUGAAAGGGGCAAUUGCUCCACUACAAGAUGGACCUGCGUUGUAUUAGCUAGUAGGUGAGGUAAUGGCUCACCUAGGCGACGAUACAUAGCCGACCUGAGAGGGUGAUCGGCCACACUGGGACUGAGACACGGCCCAGACUCCUACGGGAGGCAGCAGUAGGGAAUCUUCGGCAAUGGGGGCAACCCUGACCGAGCAACGCCGCGUGAGUGAAGAAGGUUUUCGGAUCGUAAAGCUCUGUUGUAAGUCAAGAACGGGUGUGAGAGUGGAAAGUUCACACUGUGACGGUAGCUUACCAGAAAGGGACGGCUAACUACGUGCCAGCAGCCGCGGUAAUACGUAGGUCCCGAGCGUUGUCCGGAUUUAUUGGGCGUAAAGCGAGCGCAGGCGGUUUGAUAAGUCUGAAGUUAAAGGCUGUGGCUCAACCAUAGUUCGCUUUGGAAACUGUCAAACUUGAGUGCAGAAGGGGAGAGUGGAAUUCCAUGUGUAGCGGUGAAAUGCGUAGAUAUAUGGAGGAACACCGGUGGCGAAAGCGGCUCUCUGGUCUGUAACUGACGCUGAGGCUCGAAAGCGUGGGGAGCGAACAGGAUUAGAUACCCUGGUAGUCCACGCCGUAAACGAUGAGUGCUAGGUGUUGGAUCCUUUCCGGGAUUCAGUGCCGCAGCUAACGCAUUAAGCACUCCGCCUGGGGAGUACGACCGCAAGGUUGAAACUCAAAGGAAUUGACGGGGGCCCGCACAAGCGGUGGAGCAUGUGGUUUAAUUCGAAGCAACGCGAAGAACCUUACCAGGUCUUGACAUCCCGAUGCUAUUUCUAGAGAUAGAAAGUUACUUCGGUACAUCGGUGACAGGUGGUGCAUGGUUGUCGUCAGCUCGUGUCGUGAGAUGUUGGGUUAAGUCCCGCAACGAGCGCAACCCCUAUUGUUAGUUGCCAUCAUUCAGUUGGGCACUCUAGCGAGACUGCCGGUAAUAAACCGGAGGAAGGUGGGGAUGACGUCAAAUCAUCAUGCCCCUUAUGACCUGGGCUACACACGUGCUACAAUGGUUGGUACAACGAGUUGCGAGUCGGUGACGGCGAGCUAAUCUCUUAAAGCCAAUCUCAGUUCGGAUUGUAGGCUGCAACUCGCCUACAUGAAGUCGGAAUCGCUAGUAAUCGCGGAUCAGCACGCCGCGGUGAAUACGUUCCCGGGCCUUGUACACACCGCCCGUCACACCACGAGAGUUUGUAACACCCGAAGUCGGUGAGGUAACC